AAGUCGUAACAAGGUAUCCGUAGGUGAACCUGCGGAUGGAUCAUUACUGAUUUCGUCUCUCUACGUACUGUGAACCGUCUUGAAAGACACUGGCUAGCCAGUUGUCAACUAAACGUAACCUUCAAACUAAAGUCAAAAGAGUUGAACUAUACAUACAACUUUUAGCAAUGGAUCUCUUGGCUCUC
RNAcentral lists this unclassified non-coding RNA (185 nucleotides) under fungal sp. RNAcentral describes it as "partial internal transcribed spacer region". The stretch from base 1 to 46 matches the Rfam family "Eukaryotic small subunit ribosomal RNA", at positions 1786 to 1831 of the family's 1831-position model. The record is from RNAcentral. Lineage: Eukaryota; Fungi.